This 412-nucleotide ribosomal RNA is filed under the name uncultured bacterium. RNAcentral's name for it is "bacterial SSU rRNA". It matches the Rfam family "Bacterial small subunit ribosomal RNA", at positions 94 to 541 of the family's 1533-position model. The record is from RNAcentral.
AGCGGCGGACGGGUUAGUAACGCGUGGGAAUAUGCCCAGUUCUACGGAAUAGCCUCGGGAAACUGAGAGUAAUACCGUAUACGCCCUUCGGGGGAAAGAUUUAUCGGAAUUGGAUUAGCCCGCGUUAGAUUAGGUAGUUGGUGGGGUAAUGGCCUACCAAGCCUACGAUCUAUAGCUGGUUUGAGAGGAUGAUCAGCAACACUGGGACUGAGACACGGCCCAGACUCCUACGGGAGGCAGCAGUGGGGAAUCUUGGACAAUGGGCGCAAGCCUGAUCCAGCCAUGCCGCGUGAGUGACGAAGGCCCUAGGGUCGUAAAGCUCUUUCAGCUGUGAAGAUAAUGACGGUAGCAGCAGAAGAAACCCCGGCUAACUCCGUGCCAGCAGCCGCGGUAAUACGGAGGGGGUUAGCGU